RNAcentral lists this long non-coding RNA (6720 nucleotides) under Sus scrofa (pig). Its description in RNAcentral is "lncRNA (ENSSSCG00050002878.1)". The record is from RNAcentral. Lineage: Eukaryota; Metazoa; Chordata; Mammalia; Artiodactyla; Suidae.
UUUUUUUUGUCUUUUUUUUAGGGUCCCGCCCAAGGCAUAUGGAAGUUCCUAGCCAGGGGUAGAAUCAGAGCGUAGCUGCUGGCCCACACCACAGCACAGCAAUGCCAUCUCCAAGCCGCAGCUUCAAUCUACACCACAGCUUACGGCAAUGUCAGAUCCUUAACCUACUAAGCAAGGCCGGGGAUUGAACCCGUAUCCUCAUGGAUACUGGUCAGGUUCAUUACCACUGAGCCUGAUGGGAACUCCCCAAAGUGCUUUUAAACCAUUUACUUAAUAAUACUCCCCACGUACCCCUCACAACGUUCAGUGAUGAAAUAUUAAUUUCUAAAAUACUCCUUCAAGGGAGAAGAGAAGGAAAUUUAUUUCUUUGUUAGUAGUUGACUACUUUUUAAAAGUUAGCACUUUUUUUUUUUUUUUGGAGCAGUUUUAGGUUUACAGAAAAUUGAACAGGAAGAGUACAGAGAGUUCCCGCACACUCCCCCGCCCUCAGCUUCCCCGCUAUCAACACCGCGCGUUACGGGCGCAAGUGUCACAACUGAUGAACCAGUGAGGACACAGUCUUUUCAGAUAGGCUUCUUUCACUCAGUAAUGUGCAUUUGUUUCCGCCAUGGUUUUUUUUGUUUUGUUUUGUUUUUUGGGUGUGGUUUUUUUUUUUUCUUUUUAGGGCCACACCUGUGGCAUAUGGAGGUUCCCAGGCUAGGGGUCAAGUUGAAGCUGCAGCUGCCAGCCUAUGCCACAACCACAGCAACACUGGAUCCGAGCUCCAUCUGCGACCUACAUAGCAGCUUGCGGCAACACUGGAUCCUUAACCCACUGAGCAAGGCCAGGGGUCGAACCCGUGUCCUCAAGACACGAAUUCAGGUUCUUAACCCGCUGAGCCACAACAGGAACUUCUCCUUCAUGUCUUUCCUGACUUGAUGGUUCACUUAUUUUUAGUGCUGCGUCAUAUUCCACUGUCUGGAUGGACCACAGUUUAUUUAUCCACUCGUCUAGUGAAGGACUUCCUGGCUGCUUCCAUGAUGUUUUUGGCCACUGCUAAAACAUUCAUGUGCAGGUUUUUGUAUGGAGAGGGGAACUUUUUGAGUUAAAUUUUUAAAAACAAACGUCUUACAGCAGAUGCCACUUAGGACGUCAUUACCAUUGUGAUUUCCUGAUGUUAUUAAGAUUACGUUGAAACCCAGAGAGAAAAGCCACGGGGAUGUGACAACGGAAGCCUAUGUUACAGAACAUCCCCUGCACAGGAUGCUUGAUUUGGAUCUAACUAUUCAGGGCUUAGCAUCUACCCGUUAGGAAGGAGGAAAGGAGCCACAGGGCCUCAGGUGGGAACACCCUGAAACAACAGAGAACUCAGCUCUCAGAGCCUGAACAACGGGGCUUUGCUUUGCUGAGUCAACAAGAGCGGAGGGAGGCAGGUGCUGGUAUGGUCCCCAGACACCCUCAGACAUCCUCCCUCCUGCCGUCUGUCCUGACUCCACCUCCACCACUUCGUCCUCAGCGGCUCAUGGUUGCCAGGAGGGUGUGGCACAUUCAGGCCAGGCAGCCAGGAAGGGGCACCAGGAGGCCCUUUAUAAGAAGCUUCUAUGUGGGCGUCUUUGGUUUGUAUCUCACUGGCCAGGCAGCGUCCCACAGCCACCUCUGGACUCAAGGGAGGCUGCAAGGCACCAUUCAGUUCCUCACAGUUCUGUGGUGGCAGAGAUCAAAGGGACAGGCACUGGGCAUGGCUACUGGAGAGGCUAAGCCCACAGGGAGUAAACCACAACAGCAGACAAACUCAAGGUGGCUCCGGUUGAGCCCCUUCCAAGCUCCUUGCAGCCCUCAGGGGUCUCCUAGUUGCUUGUUUGGGACCUGGCUAGAAAGGGAAGCUCAGAUGGGCUGUCACCUCCUGGUGCCACCGCAGCCCCGUUCCCAUCACGACUCAACAAUUCAUGCACAGGACGUGCCUGGACGACCUCCUGUUUGACUGGCGGCUUGGCUGGAUCCAAAGCCCAGGUUCCCGAGGUUGAAGGUCGGGUUCUGGACGGAGGGCAUGCCUUGCUUAUUUCCCACUCCCACUGCUUUGAUUUCAGCCUUGUUAUCUCUCACUUGGAUCUUGGUGAAACUUCAGAAUUUUCUCCCUCUCUGCAUCUCUCUGCAUUCUGUUCACUUCUUCCAGUGCUUCCAGCUGAGCCUUUCGGAAGCACAGGGCAGGAUGGUCCCUCGCUGGCUCACACAUCUUUGCUGCCUCCCCACCAGUGCAUCUGUGCAGCCCUGAUGCUCUAGCCUGAUGCUUCUUCCACAAUCUGUCUCCCUCUCCCCACGCCCAGUCUGGCUGCACGCCCUGUCUCUGAGCCUCUGCUCAUGCUGUUCCCUCUGCUUGUACUGUGUUCUUCUUCUUAUACAAAUCCAGCAUUUCAAGUACGAAGCGUGGAAAAACCCACACUAAUCCACAUUAGAAAGUUCUAAUAUGAGAUACUUAUCAAAGCAUUUGAAAUGCGAGUGCCAAAGUCAUUGCUCAGUACAGCUGUGCAUCUAAAAGUAUUGACAAGGAAAAAAAUAAACACACAAGACCAGAGAACUUAUAGAAAUAUAUCUUGGUAGAGUCAUAACGUGCAGUGCAAACAAGGUAUUAUACCAAAUAAAAAUGGAAAAGCUGCUGAUUCCUGCAGCUGGAUGUUGAUAGGUCACGUGACAUGACCAUUUACCCAUUCAUUCAUAUGAAAAAUUUUAAAGCUACAUAGAGAAGUGCCUACUGUCCUUACUCUUAUUACAUUUUCCGAGCAUAUUUCUUAAUCUUUUGGGCCUCAGCUGUCACUUAUAUAAAAUGGGCAUAUUCGUAAACUGAGCAGAAGACAGAGAGAAACUGGAAAAAUUGUUGGGCGUCUUUCCAGCUGUGAAAGGUCAGGUACGAUUAGGUUUUAAAAGCAAAAUAAAAUAAUGUAUCAAAAAUUAUUAAAUACUUUCAUAAGAGUAGCCUCUUUUCAAUCUCCCUCUCUAACGUCUGCAAGCACAGGACGAAUACCCAUGCCUAUCUAGAGUCUGGAGGGAGAGACUGAGUUGGCAUGAGAAAUAUCUAAAUUGCUAUUGUCUCUCCACAGUUGUUUCAGGUUCAAGAGAAGGCCUCAACUCUGUGGUUUCUCGUGGUUUAAUUCUUUCGAGGGGUUCUACCCAGCCCCGAAUUUUACUAGCAUCUCUAGAGAGUAUCAAGAAUGAUGAAAGUCUCGAAGGCAAAGAGAUUCGUGUGCAAUUUCAGCAUGUUCCAAAUUGCAAAUCCCAUGACAUUCACUUGCGGGAUCCUGCUUGUUUCUGUGAGCAAAGACGCGGACCCUUACCCAGAGGCGAGGAAGAUUUUCCAUCUCUCUAAACGGUGGCCCAGGUCACCAGAUGCCACCUCCUCCUGGUUGUUCCCACUUGAUUUUCAAAACAUAACUGUUCAUACAAGGAAGCGGUGAAUUAUAGAAUUGUCUCUUCACAUCUUUCUCUGUCCUUUGAGCCCAGGGGAAGGGGUGUCUGCUGAGGUUCACAAUUCAACCAUGUUGGGGAAGCAAGGGUGAGUGGGGUCUUAGGAUUCUGCCAUAGACGCAUGGUGGUGCCUUUGCAACUAUACCUUUGGCUAAAGAGAGAUUCACUGCAUGAGUCGUGAUGUGUUUUUUCAUUUGUUUGUUUUUUUAGGGCCGCACCCGCUGCAUAAGGAGGUUGCCAGGCUAGGGGUCAAAUCAAAGCUGUAGUCUCUGACCUACACGACAGCCACAGCAAUUCGGGAUCUGAGCUGCAUUUGUGACCUACACACAGCUCACGGCAACACCAGAUCCUUAACCCACUGAGCGAGGCCAGGGAUCAAACCUGUGACCUCAUGGCUACUCGUCAGAUUGGUUUCCACUGAGCCCCACGGGAACUCCAUGAGUCAUGAUUUAAACGCCACCCUCUGGGAGCAUCUGAUGCAAUGAGGGGUGACCCGGAGCUGAACUGAAAAGUCACAAUCAGCCACGGAGCUGCCAGGAGCAAGUCCACAGCUGGCCAGCCCUGUCUUCCUGGAGCAUAGCACUUGCCAAAACAGCUAAAGGUGCAGAGGCAUCAGUGGGCAGGAAGUCAGAUGUGAGAAACUGCUUAAAGGACUCAUUUGAGGAACAUACAUGAUUCCUAAUAAUCAAAGAGAAACGUUUCCAGGUGCCCCCUCUGUCAGUCACUGUGCUAAGCUCGUCUCACCGAUGACUUUCAGGCAGUUUGACCCCAGAGCCCGCUGGGGUCUAACCCUGCACACGUCACUCCAGGCUCCCUAUUAGUUAAGGAUUUGUGGGGCCCGGGGCACUGCAUUUGGCCACUGUGAGCAUAAAAUAGGGAGCAGACGCAAGGGUCAGCCCCCAACGGCUGAAGCCUUUGGUUUCAUUGAUCUUCUCUAUUGUUUUUGUCUUUCUUUCAUUUCUUUCAGCUCUGAUCUUUAUGAUUUCUUUCCUGCUACUAACAUUUGGCCUUGUUUAGUCUUCCCUCUUUAGUUGCUUUAGGUAUAAGGUUAGGUUGUUUAGUUACGAAUGGAUAAAGAAGAUGUGGUGCAUAUGUGCAAUGGAAUAUUACUCAGCCAUAAAAAAGAAUGAGAUAAUGUCAUUCGUGGGCCACAUGGAUGAACCUAGAGACUCUCAUACCAAGCGAAGUAAGUCAGACAAAGACAAAUAUCAUAUGAUGUUACUUAUGUAUGGAACCUAAUAAAAAUGAUACAAAAGAACGUAUUUUAAAAACAGAGACAAAUUUACAGAUUUCAACACCAAUCUCAUGGGUACCAUAGGUGAAACCCUGAGGGGAAGGAGGAAUUGGGAGGGUGGGAAGAGCACAUACCCAGUACUGUGUAAAACAGAUGAUUGACAAGAACCUACUGCAGAGUACAGGAAGAUGGACUCAACAGUUUGUAAUUACGUAAAUGGGAAAAAAGAAUGUCUCUGUUUAUACGUAGGAAUGAUUCACUUUGUCUACACCCGAAACGAAUACAACUUUGUAAAUCAACUAUACUCCGAUAAAAUUAAAUUUAAAAAAAAGUUACGCCAUUUAAAGAAAUAAAAAUAAAUAAAAGCUUUGAAGGAGGCCAACAUGUCCAGAGACAAACAGUGAUACAGAAGCAGCAGCCCUCUUUGAAAGAGCCUUGUUCUCUCUUGGUGUGAAAAAGCUUGUUGGAGGGAGUCCAAAUGAGGCCCAUGUCACCCUGGAGACCCUGCACCGCUCAAGCUGGAGGGCAGGGAUGUCCCCGGGGGGGAUGGUCCCGCAGGGCCAGGCAGGGGGUCCAGAUUCCAAGUCCAGCACCACAGGCCUCUCUCAGCUCCUGUUAGCCCAGCGCCAGCUCAGUGCAGCUCAAUAGAAAAGGACCGAAACGUCUACCUCUGAGAGCCUUCCCAGAUCUGAACACAUGUGGAAUGCGUCUCACUUGCAAGAGAAACUGGCUUAACGAACGGAGACCAGGCCCCUCCAUGACCACCUGCUGCACCUGUGCCUUCAAGCGGGGGCUUCCUGGCAUCUGCGCCCCUCGCUCCUCACGUCACAGAGAACGGCAGGACCGGCCGGAGCAGGACAGAUGGACAUUCGCGGCACAGAAGCAGAGGACAAAAUGGCCCAACAUGAACGAGAGAAGCCGAAAGAAACAUUUAUUCUACAAAAACAAGGAGCUGCAAAUAAAUACCCACUUGGCCUGUGAUUGAAAGCAGGUCUGGUUUCCUGAUGCUCCUCUCAUGACUUUUUCUGGAGAAACACGAGGCCGCCACAGCCUUUGUGGGAUGGCUGGAAGGAAAGGCUGGAAACUCCAUCCUCAGACACAGGGGCCCCUGGACCCGGCUCAGCGAGUUGGACCAGCAGCCAGGUCGGGCCACGUGCUGAGCGGUGACGUGUCACAGUUUACUUCUGAACCCGGUGCGGAGCUUCAGGCUGUUCUUGGCAAGCAUCGCCCAUACGUCACAGAGGGACAAGCUUGCAAGAUGCUCCACGGAGCGCUAAGCCAAGGUGAGGACAUUCCGAAAGAAUGUUCCUCCCAGCAAUGGUUUCCACGCUGCCGAGCAGGAGACCAGCAGCUCCCGAGCUGGGUGGGGUGGGGACGGGAGACAGCGGUGGCUGGGGUGGGGAGAGGGGCCAUCUCCAAGUUCUUGGCUUUCCCCUCGGUCUCUAAUGAUUUUGAGAAGGUAUAAGAAAACAUUAGAGUGUUUGGCCAUAAAAAUACAAUGAGCCCUUUAUCCACUGUCCUCCCUAUGAAAAAUAUUGCACCCCAUUUUUCGUGGAUCAGAUCAAAGCAAUACUGGAAUUUAUAUCUAGUUUUUGCAUUCUUAUGGACAGACUGGCUAUCUUUGGAUGGUUUGUGGCAACCAGCCUAGAAAAUGGAUUCCCUGGGUAACAGUCCAACCAGAGCCUCUAUUUUUUGGAGAAAAGAAUAUGAAUUGGGUAAUGAAGGCUGUGGGAGAAGGGAACUCAGGCCUGGGCCCCAGGCAGAGGCUGUGCUGCCGUGGGGGCCCCUGGAGUGGGGUCUGAACCCCACCCCACCCCUUCUGCUUGCCUUUCCCACAGGGGUCAGCCUCCUGGGGCAGAGAGGCCAGGCCCAGGGAUGGGCACCCAAGGGGACAAACAGAAGCAGUGGCCCCGAAAGCACAGCAGCCACGGUUCCCUACAAGGCAGCUCGACCACCGAAAUCAGUGAGGGCCCACGCCCCAAAGGUCAUAGCUCCAGCCACUCCACCUCACUCCCCAGGGGUCGACUGCCUGUGCAAAAGAAGGGAGC